GGCUCCAUAGUGUAGGGACUAGCGCAUCUGCUUUACAUGCAGAAGGUCUUGGGUUCAUGCCCCAGGCGGAGCCA
Molecule: transfer RNA, 74 nt
Filed under: Pteropus alecto (black flying fox)
Lineage: Eukaryota; Metazoa; Chordata; Mammalia; Chiroptera; Pteropodidae
Rfam family: tRNA
About the family: Transfer RNA (tRNA) molecules are approximately 80 nucleotides in length. Their secondary structure includes four short double-helical elements and three loops (D, anti-codon, and T loops).
Source: Rfam by way of RNAcentral